GAUGAAGAACGUAGCGAAAUGCGAUAAGUAAUGCGAAUUGCAGAAUUCAGUGAGUCAUCGAAUCUUUGAACGCACAUUGCGCCCCUUGGUAUUCCAUGGGGCAUGCCUGUUCGAGCGUCAUUUGUACCCUCAAGCUUUGCUUGGUGUUGGGCGUCUUGUCGUAUUACGACUCGCCUUAAAUACAUUGGCAGCCGGCACUUUGGCCUAGGAGCGCAGCACAUUUUGCGAUCGUAGCCCGUUGUACUGGCGUCCAUCAAGAACAUUUACCACGUUUGACCUCGGAUCAGGUAGGGAUACCCGCUGAACUUAAGCAUAUCAAUAAGCGGAGGA
This 330-nucleotide unclassified non-coding RNA is filed under the name soil metagenome. RNAcentral describes it as "partial contains 5.8S ribosomal RNA, internal transcribed spacer 2, and large subunit ribosomal RNA". The stretch from base 1 to 120 matches the Rfam family "5.8S ribosomal RNA", at positions 35 to 154 of the family's 154-position model. The record is from RNAcentral.